GCAGCUGCAUGCCGUUCUUCCCUUCCCCUUUCACAACAGAAACGUGAAUCAGACCAGUAGAGAUUACUUUGUGAACUUGUGAGGGAGAGAUGAGACCUUGAGAGAGGAGUGGGCAGCUGCAUAGAGGAGAGGAAAAAGAGAGCUGGAAAACGUGAGAGGAAGAAGAAGGAGGAGAACCAGCAGCUGAAUAGUGUCAAACCUUCCUCAAACUUAGUUAAAUUCAGAAGGUGGUGCGGUCGGGAUUGGACCAUCAUCAAGACAGGAACGACCCACAGGUGGAGCAGGUAGGUGACUUGCACCUUUCUUUUUCAUACGUUGAAUCUUGGAAUAUUUUAACUUGAGUACUACCAUAUUGUUAGAACCGAUAUUAAAUUGUCGAACGCUUAAUUGUUGAUAAAAGAGUGAUUAGCUUCGGCUAAUGGCAUCCGAAUGGAUGGCCGGGACAAAAGACUGAUUAGCUUCGGCUAAUGGCAUCCAAACGGAUGGCCGGGACAAAGAAUGAUUAGCUUUGGCUAAUGGCGUCCGAAUGGAUGGCCGGGAUGAAGGACUGAUUAGCUUCGGCUAAUGACAUCCAAACGGAUGGCCGGGACAAAGAGUGAUUAGCUUCGGCUAAUGGCAUCUGAAUGGAUGGCCGGGACAAAGAAUGAUUAGCUUUGGCUAAUGGCGUCCGAAUGGAUGGCCGGGUUAAAAAGGGAUGAUUUCGCUGCCGAUUGUGGAUCGGCAGCGACGCAGUUCCGCUGCCGAUUCUGGAUCGGCAGCGACACAGUAUUCGCUGCCGAUUCUGGAUCGGCCGCGACCCAGUUUCGCUGCCGAUUCCUUGAUCGGCAGCGAUGUAGUUUCGGCUGCCGAUUUUAGGAUUGGCAGCGACGCAGCUAUCGCUAUGCUAUCGCUAUGGAAUCCGGGACAAAUAAACGACUAGUUUUGGCGAAUGGCAUUUGAAAACUUGUGUAUCUAUAUGUACUACUAAUUGUUACAUCAAAUACAUGAAGAAAUUAUAAAUGUUAAUGCUUAUUUAAUUGCUAGGCCGUUAGUUACCAUUAUUAUUAUUAUUAAGUAUUUGUUUUCUCUUAAAUGUUUUGUACUGCUGCAGGGACGUCACACCAACGAGAUGUCUAGGAUACCCGAUACACGGGAACCUACUUUUGCAAGGAAUUAAGUAGAUGCAUUCUAAAUCACAAUGUAUUUUGUAGGGAUCAAUGUACUGAAUGUAUAACUUUUAUUAGAUCCUUUUUGUUUAAAAAUUGUGAUGGCUAUUAGAAGUAUAAGAGUGCAAACUCAUGUCCAUGUAUAUAUAUUUUUAAUAUGAACUUCAAAUCAUGCAACCUUAAUAUUAUGUGUUUGUGUAAGAUUCGCUUUUGAAUGAACUGUUGAUUGUUUGGAUUGUAUUUUGAUGAUGUGAGGAUUCAAGUUCUUUGAUUACCGGCACCAUGUGUAUUAAAUAUAUAUAUAUAUAUAAAAAAAAAAUUUACUAUUGUUUUGGGCUUAGAAAGCCGGGUUGUUACAGUUGGUAUCAGAGCACUUGGUAUGGAUCCUGAGGAUCAUUAAUAAAUGUGUUGUUGCGAUGAAUUUCAGGAUGGUACGCACCCGACAAGGGACAUGAACUGAGCCACCCUCCUUAGAAAGGAGGGGCAUGAACCGAGGUGCCCAAGGUUGGCAAGACGAAGAUCCCUUAGAUGAUACGGCAUCUCAUGCUCCGAUAAUACCGCCCGAAACUUUACAGGGGGAAGAUACGGUGGCAGGAGAAGGCCCGAGGUCUCAUCAGACAGAGGGAACACCCCCAGUCGCAACGGAGCAGCGAGAAAGAUCAGAAGCACAGCCAUCUACUGUUCCAACUGGUGUGCCCCCACAAUAUGUAGAUGCAGGACUCCUUGUACAAAUAGUUAAAGCAGUGAUGGAAGGCAUGGCUAGUUUAGCAGCACAAACAACCCCUACCACGCAGAUUCCACCAGCAGCCCCUACGACCAGCAUGACCAUGGAUAAUGUGGUACCACUGGUGCGACUAGUCAAGAGUAUGAGGGAAAUGGGCUGUGAACCGUAUAUGGGGGAACAAGAUGCAGAGAUAGCUGGAAGAUGGAUCAGGAAGGUAGAAAAGACAAUGAUUCAAAUAAGCAUACCCGAGGGUUUGAGGGUAAAUUGUGCAUCCCAGUUACUAUCUGAUAGGGCCAUGACAUGGUGGGAAACAGUUCAGCUGAGGCGUGCGACUGAGACCCUAACUUGGAGUGAUUUCAAGACAGAGUUUGAGAAUCAGUUUUAUUCCAAGUAUCAUCGCAAGGUGAAAGAACAAGAGUUCUUAGCAUUAAGACAGGGUGAUAUGUCAGUAUUGGAGUACGAAAGGAGAUUCCAUGACCUCUCAUUGUUCGCCCCACAUUAUGUGCCGACAGAGGAACAUAUGAUUGAAAAGUUGAGAGAUGGUUUACGACAGGAUUUGAGACAAGGAUUGAUCGCCUUGCGAUUUAAAUCGGUGAGGGAGUUGAUUGAGGCUGCACAAGCUCUGGAGGCAUGUAUUGGAGAAAGCCAAGGGGGGUAUCAGAGUAUAAGCAAAAAGAGAGAUGGGGACUAUUUCAGCGGCAGACCACCGCACCCGAAGAAAGGAAAAAGUGGAGUGUUUGAGCAGCACGGAAAGAAGGGGAGUUUGAUAUUACCGCCUCACCAACAGUCAAGUGGGAGAAUGAUGGCGGGACAGUCGCACUCGAGGGCAAACUCUUCAACUGGGACCGGUGACCGCAGGGGAGUUGACUAUCCUUUUUGUGUAAAAUGUGGACAAAAACACCCUGGGGACUGCUCAGUUUCCCCUGGGCGAUGCUUUGUGUGCAGAGGAGAGGGUCAUAGGUGGAGGAACUGCCAGUAUCUUAGCCAAGGGUGUCAUUACUGUGGUGGGAAAGGUCAUUACAAGAGGGACUGCUCCAAAAGAAACACCGGACAAGUACAGAGCUAUAGACAGCCCAGUCAGAGCCACCAGCAGUCAGUCACCGUUAAUAGGCCAGUGAGAUCUUCUCAAUCAGGGGCAAACUCCAGUCGAGGGAAGCCGAGGGCACAAAAUGAUCGGACCCCAGGGAGGGUCUUCCACCUGACACAGGAGGAGGCCAGGGCUGCAUCGGAUGUGGUGGCAGGUACACUACUGUUGAAUGAUUUUAAUAUGCAUGUAUUGUUUGAUCCGGGUGCCACCCACUCAUUCAUUGCUAAGAGAAGUGUCACUAAAUUGAGAAAGGAAGUAGAAAUAGUAGAGAAGGGGUUUGUAAUUGGAACUCCAAUGGGAAACAUGGUUGAAACAAAUAUUGUAUAUGUGGAUGUGGGGGUUAGUUUAUCCGGGUAUGAAACAGAAGUAGACUUGAUUCCCUUAGAGCUGCAUGAUUUUGACAUAAUACUAGGCAUGGAUUGGUUGAGUAAAUACAAGGCACUAAUAGAUUGUUAUGCUAAAACUGUUACUUUUCAAACACCUAAGGGCGAGAAAAUGACUUUUGAAGGAGAGAGAUUUCCCAAACUGAAUGCUUUAAUAUCGGUGGUAACAGCCCAAAAACUUUUAAGAAAGGGAUGUAUGGGAUACCUCGCAUACAUCUUAAACUCUGAUGAUGAAGGUCCACGAUUGAAGGAUAUUCCUGUGGUGAAGGAUUUCCCAGAUGUGUUUCCAGAAGAACUACCAGGACUACCCCCGGAGCAAGAGGUAGAGGUGUCUAUAGACACUUUUCCUGGAGUCCCACCCAUACCCAACAACCGUAUCGGAUGGCUCCAGCAGAACUGAACGAGUUAAAGACUCAAUUACAGGAAUUAUUAGACAAGGGGUUCAUACGGCCCAGUAAUUCUCCUUGGGGAGCACCGGUCCUAUUUGUAAGAAAGAAAGAUGGAACCCAUAGGCUUUGUAUUGACUAUCGACAGUUGAACAAAAUAACAAUGAAAAACAAGUAUCCGUUACCUCGGAUAGAUGAUUUGUUCGACCAAUUAAAGGGAGCGAGGGCAUUUUCGAAGAUAGAUCUGAGAUCAGGGUACUAUCAGAUGAAGAUUAAAGAAGCGGAUGUAGCAAAGACCGCAUUUAGAACUCGUUACGGACACUAUGAAUUUUUGGUGUUACCGUUCGGGUUGACGAACGCCCCAGCCCUCUUCAUGGAUUUGAUGAAUCGGGUUUUCCAACCAUACCUGGAUAAGUUUGUGGUGGUAUUCAUUGAUGAUAUACUGGUGUACUCGAAUUCUUUCAAGGAGCACGAAGAACACUUGAGACAAACCUUACAAACCUUGAGAGAUCACCAGUUAUAUGCAAAAUUGAGUAAAUGUGAAUUUUGGCUGAAAAGAGUGACGUUUUUGGGACAUGUCAUUUCAGCCGAAGGUGUUUUUGUCGACCCUCAAAAAGUCGAAGCAGUCUUGAAAUGGGAAAGACCGACUUCGGUCACUGAAAUACGUAGUUUCCUGGGACUUGCAGGAUACUAUCGGAGAUUUAUCGAAGGUUUUUCCCUGAUUGCAACCCCUUUGACCCAGCUAACUAGGAAGGAUAAGAAGUGGGUGUGGUCGGAAGAAUGUGAGGCAAGCUUCCAAGAAUUGAAGAGGAGGCUCACCACUGCUCCAGUCUUAACUCUCCCCUCAGAGACCGAGGGUUUUGUGGUAUAUAGUGAUGCCUCGGGGAAGGGAUUGGGGUGUGUUUUGAUGCAACAUGGGAAGGUGAUCGCCUAUGCAUCAAGGCAAUUAAAGACUCAUGAGGUGAACUACCCGGUGCACGACCUGGAGUUGGCAGCUGUAGUAUUUGCCUUGAGGAUAUGGAGACACUAUUUGUAUGGGUCUCGAACCCAAAUUUUUACUGAUCAUAAGAGCCUGAAGUAUCUGAUGUCGCAAAAGGAGUUGAACAUGCGGCAAAGAAGGUGGAUAGAGCUCAUUAAGGAUUAUGAUUGCACCAUAGAAUACCACCCGGGGAAAGCAAAUGUGGUGGCAGAUGCCCUCAGUCGCAAAAAUAAAGCCUCCUUGGGAAGCUUAACAGUGGGAAAGGAGCGGCAAUUGGCAGAAUUAAAAGAGUUGGGUGCAGAUUUGGGAAUUGAUGCAAGAGGUGGGUUAGUAGCCCAAUUAUUGGUGCGACCAACGUAUCGAGAACAGAUACUACAUGCCCAAUUCCAUGACAAGGUGGGAUCCAAGAUUAGGAAGAAUGUGGAGGCCGGGGUAGAAAUGAAAUUCCGAGUAGCGGAUGAUGGAUCCUUGAUGAUGGGACAACGGUUGUACGUGCCUGAUGACGAAACAGUCAAACGUAUGGUUCUGCAAGAAGCACAUGAGUCCAAAUUCUCCAUACAUCCUGGCAGUACUAAGAUGUACCGAGACCUGAAACACCUCUAUUGGUGGCCUAAUAUGAAAAGGGAAAUAGCUGAGUAUGUGUCAAAGUGUGGGAUAUGUCAACAAGUCAAGGUUGAACACCAAAGGCCUGCGGGACCAUUACAGCCAUUACAAAUUCCAGAAUGGAAGUGGGAGAUGAUCACCAUGGAUUUCGUGUCAGGAUUUCCCAAGGGGAGAAAAGGAAAUGAUGUAAUAUGGGUCAUUGUGGAUCGGUUGACGAAAUCCGCACUAUUCUUGCCUGUAAAGAUGACCGACUCGGUGGACAAGCUUGCCAAGAUCUACAUAAAUGAGGUGGUACGACUUCAUGGGAUUCCGGUGUCCAUUGUAUCGGAUCGAGAUCCUAGGUUCACCUCUCGACUUUGGCCGAGCAUACAACAUGCCUUGGGGACAAGAUUGGACAUGAGCACUGCGUUUCACCCUCAAACGGAUGGCCAAUCGAAAAGAGUCAUUCAAGUCUUGGAAGACCUAUUACGGGCAUGUGUGCUAGAAUUUGGAGGAAACUGGGAGGAACACAUGGCAUUGGUGGAGUUCACGUAUAACAAUAGUCACCAAGCCACAAUAGGGAUGGCCCCAUAUGAAGCCUUGUAUGGUAGGAGGUGUAGAACUCCUUUAUGUUGGGAGGAAAUUGGGGACCGGAAGUUAUAUGGCGCAGAGUUAGUUCAAGUCACCACGGAGAAAGUGAGAAUUAUCAGGGAUCGCAUCAAAGCCGCACAGGAUAGACAAAAGAAGUAUGCCGAUGUGAGGAGAAGACCUCUCGAGUUCAGUACGGGGGACCAGGUGUUCCUGAAGGUAGCCCCAUGGAAGAACAUGUUACGAUUUGGAUUGAAAGGAAAGUUAACUCCCCGUUUCAUUGGACCCUUCAAAAUCUUACAACGAGUUGGACCAGUAGCCUACAAGGUGGAUUUGCCCCCACAGUUAGCCAGGGUCCAUGAUGUGUUCCAUGUCUCCUUGUUAAGGAAGGCUAACGUAGACCCCGCCCGAGUUCUACCCCAGGUCCCAGUAGAGGUCAAGGAAGACUUAACACUGGAAUUGAGGCCCAUAAGGAUACUAGAUCAAGAAGUGAAGGAGUUACGGAGCAAAAAGAUCCCCAUCGUUAGAAUCUUAUGGCGAAAUGCUCAAGUAGAAGAGGAAACUUGGGAGAGGGAGGCUGAGAUGAGAAAAAAGUACCCCAAUUUAUUUGAUCUACCAGGUAUAGAGUGUGAAACUUCUUAAAUUUCGAGGAUGAAAUUCAUAUUUAAGAGGGGAGAAUGUAAACACCCAAAGGAAAAUAUAUAUAUAUAUUUAGAGAGAGAGAGAUGAUGAUGAAUGCAGAAAUCGGCAGCGACGCAGUUUUCGCUGCCGAUUCUGGACUGGGCAGCGAUGCAGUUUUCGCUGCCGAUUCUGGACUGGGCAGCGACGCAGUUUUCGCUGCCGAUGCAGAAAUCGGCAACGAUGCAGUUUUCGCUGCCGAUUCUGGACUUGGCAGCGACGCAACCUUCACUACCGAUACAGAAAUCGGUAGCGACACAGUUUUCGCUGCCCAUUUCUUGAUCGGCAGCGACGCAGUUUUCGCUGUCGAUGCAGAAAUCGGCAGCGACGCAGUUUUCGCUGCCGAUUUCUCAAUGAACAGUGACGCAGAGCUGGGAGGGAGGGGUAAAACUGAUUUUAGAUAAACCAAACAAGGAUAAGGACACACCUAAACCAACCCCCAAACAACCCAUUUCAUUGGAUGGGUAGUAUAAAUACAGAGAGGGGAGAGAGAAUGACCCAUCUUCUUCCAAAUCCAGCAGCUGCAUGCCGUUCUUCCCUUCCCCUUUCACAACAGAAACGUGAAUCAGACCAGUAGAGAUUACUUUGUGAACUUGUGAGGGAGAGAUGAGACCUUGAGAGAGGAGGGGGCAGCUGCAUAGAGGAGAGGAAAAAGAGAGCUGGAAAACAUGAGAGGAAGAAGAAGGAGGAGAACCAGCAGCUGAAUAGUGUCAAACCUUCCUCAAACUUAGUUAAAUUCAGAAGGUGGUGCGGUCGGGAUUGGACCAUCAUCAAGACAGGAACGACCCACAGGUGGAGCAGG
Molecule: long non-coding RNA, 7354 nt
Filed under: Populus trichocarpa (black cottonwood)
Lineage: Eukaryota; Viridiplantae; Streptophyta; Magnoliopsida; Malpighiales; Salicaceae
Description: long non-coding RNA (PTRI_LNC004320)
Source: RNAcentral